GCGCAACCCUCACCCCUUGUUGCCAUCAGGGUAAUGGCUGGGCACUCUAGGGGAACUGCCCCGGUCAACGGGGAGGAAGGCGGGGACGACGUCAAGUCAUCAUGCCCUUACGCCCUGGGCUACACACGUGCUACAAUGGCCGGUACAAAGGGAUGCGAGACCGCGAGGUGGAGCCAAACCCAAAAAACCGGUCUAAGUUCAGAUUGGAGUCUGCAACUCGACUCCAUGAAGGAGGAAUCGCUAGUAAUCGUGUAUCAGAACGACGCGGUGAAUACGUUCCCGGGCCUU
This 288-nucleotide ribosomal RNA is filed under the name uncultured Nitrospirales bacterium. RNAcentral's name for it is "partial 16S ribosomal RNA". It matches the Rfam family "Bacterial small subunit ribosomal RNA", at positions 1096 to 1382 of the family's 1533-position model. The record is from RNAcentral. Lineage: Bacteria; Pseudomonadati; Nitrospirota; Nitrospiria; Nitrospirales.